This 253-nucleotide unclassified non-coding RNA is filed under the name uncultured Staphylococcaceae bacterium. Its description in RNAcentral is "contains 16S-23S intergenic spacer region". It matches the Rfam family "Bacterial small subunit ribosomal RNA", at positions 524 to 776 of the family's 1533-position model. Lineage: Bacteria; Bacillati; Bacillota; Bacilli; Caryophanales; Staphylococcaceae. The record is from RNAcentral.
UACGUAGGUGGCAAGCGUUAUCCGGAAUUAUUGGGCGUAAAGCGCGCGUAGGCGGUCUGUUAAGUCUGAUGUGAAAGCCCCCGGCUCAACCGGGGAGGGGCAUUGGAAACUGGUAGACUUGAGUGCAGGAGAGGAGAGUGGAAUUCCAUGUGUAGCGGUGAAAUGCGUAGAUAUAUGGAGGAACACCGGUGGCGAAAGCGGCUCUCUGGCCUGUAACUGACGCUGAGGUGCGAAAGCGUGGGGAUCAAACAGG